GUCCGCCGGCGCCCCCUGGGAUUGGGGAGAGAGGGAAGGGCUGAGGCUCACGGUUUCGGAGUAAGGGGAGCGGCCCGGCGAGCCGCCGCGCCUGGGUUAAGAGCUGCAGGAGGAACGUGGCUUCACGAGUUCGGCUCCUCGGCCAUCCACAGCCCGGGCCUCCGCCUCUGCUGACCUGGCGGCUGUAGAAGGCAGAAGAGGCCUGAAACCUGCAGCAGGAGCACCACCCUGCCCCGCGGCCCCGCGCGCCCUCCAGUGGCGUCAUCCCAUCCGCUUUGAUCUCGACUGGCGCGCCUACCCUCGGCAGCGGCACCCCUUGGGAGCGCAAUCGCGGGCAGACUCCGAGGACCCAUCUUGCGAAAGUUCUGCGAGGUCCUGACUUUAAGGGAACAGGGGUCGUACUUGGGCCAUGGCCGGAAGGGAGAUCCAACAUCCAUGACGACGUCUACCCCCCAGCCUGCCCCUUCAGAGCCCAGUCUGUGCCUUGCGUCAAAGUCAAGCAAGGGCUCUUGUAGGGCACCGAGCCCCAGCCAAAAUCACCCUUUUCUUUCAGAUAGCCCCCACUUACCCCCAGAAACCUUACUCUCUCCCUCGGGAGCAGGUGGGAAGUGAAAGGCCGGGGGGGCUGUUUCUGCUCUGCUUGUCUGUACCUGUGGCCCUUGAGUGGAAAACCCCGCCGCUGGACCAAAGACCUGGAGGCUCCAGGAUUGCCCACUUGGGACCCUGACUAUGA
Molecule: long non-coding RNA, 733 nt
Filed under: Homo sapiens (human)
Lineage: Eukaryota; Metazoa; Chordata; Mammalia; Primates; Hominidae
Description: non-protein coding LINC01144:8
Source: RNAcentral